Acanthopagrus latus (yellowfin seabream) is the source of this 422-nucleotide long non-coding RNA. RefSeq lists it as uncharacterized. The transcript is spliced from 3 exons. The record is from RefSeq and is a predicted model, not a curated record. Lineage: Eukaryota; Metazoa; Chordata; Actinopteri; Spariformes; Sparidae.
GGGUUGAGAGGCAAGUUGACCCCAAGACCAAAAGAGAGAUUUAUUGAUGCUGUACCGGGAUCACAAGGUUAGAAACGCUGAAACCAUUCGGCGCUCAGACAAUGAAGAGGAAGAACAACAUGAAGAAGAAACAGCGAUCACGUCAAGACGGACAGAAAGUCAAACUAACAAACACGAGAGAAUCCAGUCCUGACCCUACCCUUCAAAAUGAAACACCGCGACUGACAGCUUCGGAUUGGCGGCCCCUCGGAAACUCGGAAUGACGGGCCUUUGGAAAUGUUCGGGAUAGCGGAACGUCAGAAUAGCGAUCCUUCAGAAUGGGAGUCGCCCCCUGCCUGGGUUGAUCCCUCGCCUAAAAAAAGACCAGAUGCAGUUUUAAUAUAUUUCACCACCAGCCCAGUGACACAGCAUCAGGUGCUCCU